CCCAAUGUCUACGCAUCGGCCACUAUUUUGAAAUUUUUAUCUUCGUAACAUUGUACAAAAUUAGUGUUCAGCUGGGAGUAUUAAAGACUCCCUAGAAGCUGAUUAGUUGAACGCACAAACAUGAAACAAUAACAGGACCAUUAAAACUCAAAAUCCAUCACGUUCAGUAAGGAAAUAUUGACUUCUAAUGCAUUUGCAAAUUGCAACCAUAGGCAAAAAUUUACGAGUACUCCAGGCAAAAUAAGCGUACACCAUUAAUAAAAGGUGAGGUUCAAAACUCAAAUAAGCGCAAUUCAAUCAUUCCUUCUUUUCUUUUUGGAGAAUACCAAGCAACAACCUUCCCAGAGCGUAGAAGCCUCAAUGAAUAACUCAAACUAUAUAUUAGAUCCUCUACAUGCGGACCUUGUUGCCCUGAUGCAGAACCAAGCGAAAAUCCCGAAUCCACUCGGAAGACAAUUGGGCCAGCAACCUGCUGUUGAAGAAUCAAAUUAAUCCUGGGAGAUGACAAUGGAUUGUCUGCUGCACCACUAACUGAAGACCUCCUGAAAAUAUUUAAAGCCCUUUUGGUAAGAGCAAAAGCUGAACAGAUAUCCAGGCGGGCAUCCACCCUAGUUAGAUCACCAUAUAGCUUUGUAAACUUCCCGUGUUGGAAAGUAUAGCAAACUGAGCCAAAAAAAUCAGCAUUGAAUGGGCUUCUCUUUCCUGUACUUGUUGAGGUAUCCCCGUCUGUAGAUGCUGAGUACCCCCAGCCUCCAAACCGUGCUGCGCAGGAGCCACCUAAGAUGUAUAUCAUGUGAUAAGUUAAUAGUCAGAAACAGCAGCAACCAUUCGGCUUCAGGCACAAUCUAGAACAUAAUACAAAGCUAAUUAGCAACAGAAAGAACUACUCUUCAAUGCAGCAACAUUACCAACAAUUCCAGAUAUUGCUGCAUGAGGUUCACUGAGACGCACAUCAUAUGAGGGACGCCAAAUCCAACCCUUAUCUGCCUUUGUCAUGAUGUCCUUCUUAGUCUGUUUCUUCCUCCAAAGAUCCUUGCUCUUCUCAUAAGAAAAGGAAGCCUUUCCACAUAAUCCAGGCAUCAAAGCAAGAGGUGGCUCAUCAUUUAUGGCAUUAACAGCCUUUGGAUGGCCAUUGCUUUUGUGUAUCCCAAAACGGUACCGGAAGCCAGAUUCAGAGACAAGUGAAGACAUAUCUAAGGAUAUUGACUCAGGAACAUCCCAAUAUCUACCUUUAUGGUCAAUAAACAGCUCAGGCCAUGCAGCCUCCAAAGUGAUAUCAUGAGAAGGAAGCUGUUGAAAGAGCAUCAUUUUGUAGCGAGGUCUCAUCUUCUCACCAUGCCGUUCAGUGCUAAGCAACACAGAAGAGGAAGGAGUUGGAGAAAACUGUGAGGAUAAACCAAUAGAAUAGAGUGACUUGUCCAGGAAAUGUUUGGCCGCAUCCUUAAAUACAGAGAAUUCAAGUUCCUCAGCAUUAGAAAGUUCCGCUUUAAUAGACGAAAUCAAUUUCCUUGGUCGGAACUGCCCGAUUAAUCCCAGCCAGCAGUUAGAGGUGGCAAGUUUGAGCAAGACAGACUGGAGAGAGAAAGAACCAAGGUCCUUGUUAGAAGUGGGAGAGUAAGAGGGAAUGAUACCGAGAGGGAAGCCAUUUCCUAAUAGGGAGAGCUGUUGAAUCCUAAGGGCUCGGCUGGAUCUAGUGGCGUCCAAGGGGAAUGGGUCGCCAGGGAUAGAGCGGGCACAUCCUUCUAGGGUUUUUGGAGAAGAAAUGGGUUGAUCCCAGAAUGCGGAGUCCAUAGCCGUCCUGAGGUUUGCCAUGGUUCAGCUGAGUUUGGUUGGUAGGUUUCCUUAUCUGCGUUUGAAAAACGAAAAUGGUC
RNAcentral lists this unclassified non-coding RNA (1871 nucleotides) under Hevea brasiliensis (rubber tree). The record is from RNAcentral. Lineage: Eukaryota; Viridiplantae; Streptophyta; Magnoliopsida; Malpighiales; Euphorbiaceae.